AGCAGCCGCGGUAAUUCCAGCUCCAAUAGCGUAUAUUAAAGUUGUUGCAGUUAAAAAGCUCGUAGUUGAACUUCGGGGUUUACUCAUUGGUCAGGCUUAAUUGUCUGUACUGGUGAGAUGAAUCUCUACCUUCUGAGGAACUUUCAUGCCAUUUAUUUGGUGUGGUUGGAAAUCAGGACUGUUACUUUGAAAAAUUAGAGUGUUUAAAGCAGGCUAACGUCUGAAUACAUUAGCAUGGAAUAAUGAAAUAGGACGGAUUGAUUCUAUUUCGUUGGUUUCUAGGGUCACCGUAAUGAUUAAUAGGGAUAGUUGGGGCAUUAGUAUUCAAUUGUCAGAGGUGAAAUUCUUGGAUUUAUUGAAGACUAACUACUGCGAAGGCAUUUGCCAAGGAUGUUUUCAUUAAUACAAGAACGAAAGUUAGGGGAUCGAAGACGAUCAGAUACCGUCGUAGUCUUAACCAUAAACUAUAGCCGACUAGGGAUCGGACGAAGUUAA
Molecule: ribosomal RNA, 495 nt
Filed under: uncultured Diversispora
Lineage: Eukaryota; Fungi; Glomeromycota; Glomeromycetes; Diversisporales; Diversisporaceae
Description: SSU rRNA
Rfam family: Eukaryotic small subunit ribosomal RNA
Source: RNAcentral